AUGAACAAAACAAAACAGAAAACAUAUCCUAGCUACUUGGGCCGGCUCAUCUGCGGUUUGUUCGCUGUCGAGGAUGGACUUGCAACUGGGACAAAAAAAUGUCGGACCCCCAAUGGCAAGUCGAGGGUGGACUCGCAAUUGGGACUAAAAAAGUCAGCCCCUAGUUGUGUGUUCUGUUUAGACUUGCAACUGGGACAACAAAGGUUGGGCCCCGGUUGCGAGUCAAGGGUGGACUUGCAACUGGGACAAGAAAAGAUCGAGCCCCAACUGCGAGUCGGCCGUGGACUUGCGACUAAACACAAAAAGGUCGGGCCCCAGUUGCGAAUCGAGAGUGGACUUGCAAUUGGGAGUAAAAAAACUCGGGCUGCAGCUGCGAGUCGAGGGUGGACUUGCAACUCGAACAAAAGGUUGGACCCUAGUUGCGAGUUGAUGGUGAACUUACAACUCAGACAAAAAAAGUUUGUCCCCAGUUGCAAGUCAAAGGUGGACUUGCAACUCGAACAAAACAGGUCGGGCCUGAGUUGCGAGUCGAGGGUGGACUUGCAACUUGGACAAAAGAAAAUUCUCGCCCUAUUUGUGAGUCGAGAGUGGAUCUGGAACUAG
RNAcentral lists this ribosomal RNA (603 nucleotides) under Triticum aestivum (bread wheat). RNAcentral's name for it is "partial small subunit ribosomal RNA". Lineage: Eukaryota; Viridiplantae; Streptophyta; Magnoliopsida; Poales; Poaceae. The record is from RNAcentral.